UACACAUGUUGCAAUCUAGUUUUAUAAUUCCGUUUGAUUUGAUUGUUUCUUGAAUCUGUUAACUAUAAUAACCACGUGACCACCAACAGGAGGGACUUUGCGUGUCUUCUUCAGGACAGGAGUUUCCCUCAAUGGUGAAAUCUCCUGUAAAAUCAUGGACCGACUUGCGACCGUCAUUGGACAACAACAUAUAGGUCUGACGGUGGGAUUGAGUUUGAUGAUCAUCGUCGUGAUAAUCGUUCUUGCAGCGGUUGUUUACACUCCUCCGGGCGCUACAACGCGCUGCUUGAGAAGAAACAGGAGUGAAGAACACCUCUCCCUGACUGCUAACAGAAUUUCAUGACUGUACUAACAGAAACACAUGAACUUUAUGGAUCUCAGUGUUGGACCCACUAUAGGAACAUUUGACCCUUUUAGAAAAAUGACUUCCAAACAAAUCACAGUUUCCAAAGACAUGGAAAUAUAAUAAAAAGUCAUUGACAAGCAUUUUGUUGGCCUUCAUUAUGAAGGAUACUAAGGCCAUUUUUGUAUACCUUUUGUAUACAAGUAUGAUCAAGUAGGGCUUGGAUCUCUAAAUACAUCUCUUCAUACAAAUGUAAAUUCUCUCCAGCAGUCUCUGUAAAAUGAUGUUAAAAAUACUUAUUAGGAAUAACUGGAAAAGCCAUGGAAAAAUCAUGGAAAUUCAUUGCCGAGAAAAUGACGGGAACCCUGUAAAUUAAUUGUGUUUAUAUUGAAUAACCACUAAAGAACAUUUUAAACUAGAGCUUUGUAUACUUUCUCCAAUUGUCACACAUUUCUAUUAAACAAUAGGCCUAUAUAAUUAAAAUGUGUAUUCUUUGUUAUGUUGAUUUAUUGAUUAGCCAAGAACAUGAGCUCAAUACCUACUCCUUAAUUGGGUUAGAUGCCAUACUGAAUUUAAGGCAAAUGAAAACAAGGCUGUGAGGUCUUUUCAAUGGCACGAACUGUAUAAAGGUCCUUAGAUUGGUCCUCACUACAGAACACAAUAUCCAGGGGGCGAGGGUGGAUCCAGAUCCAGCUCCUCCCACCUUACAUAUCCCUAAACCUACCAUCUCCAGGAUGGAUCUUGUGUAGUGCAGCGAGGGGCUACUGGAAAUUUUCACAACUUUCUAAACUGUUUUAUGGAGUUUUCGUUUACUGAAAGCUUUUUUUUUUUUUCUCUCAGAAGGACGUUUCGUCAGCUACAAUCCAUUCGCAACAAUCCAAGUACAAUCCAUUGAAUGCAUUGUACUUUCUUUCAUCACAGCCUCAUUUUCAUUCCUGUCAAAAAUUAAAUAUGACGCUACCCUGACUGGUCUACACGCAAUAACUGUACCACAGGAACUACAAAAGCUGCAAUUCCAGUAGACAACCAUUAGAUGGACUAGUACUCUGUGGAAAGGAUAAGAGUCUGUGAUACAGCAUAUUUUGUUUUCAUUUAGGCAACUAUAAAUGCUGCUGCUACCUUUUAUUUGCUUUCACAUGGUGGACACUGUCAUUCUGACAUAUAAGAGUUCUCAACUGAAAUUAAACAGGAAUUUUACACCAUUAGGACUUUUAUCACAAAAUGAUAAAGUGAGUGUUCAGUACUAUUCAGUAUGUUCAUUGCAUCUGAACAUAUUUAAGUGGUUCAGCUUUUAGAUUUCACUUUUUUUUUACCAUAAUAUAUAUUUCUGUUGUGUGAAAGAAAGCAUUAAAAUUUUGUGAAUCUUCAA
This is a long non-coding RNA of Onychostoma macrolepis, 1712 nucleotides long. RefSeq lists it as uncharacterized. The record is from RefSeq and is a predicted model, not a curated record. Lineage: Eukaryota; Metazoa; Chordata; Actinopteri; Cypriniformes; Cyprinidae. The transcript has 2 exons.